UACGUAGGGCGCAAGCGUUGUCCGGAAUUAUUGGGCGUAAAGAGCUCGUAGGUGGCUUGUCACGUCGGGUGUGAAAGCUUGGGGCUUAACUCCAGGUCUGCAUUCGAUACGGGCUGGCUAGAGGUAGGUAGGGGAGAACGGAAUUCCUGGUGUAGCGGUGAAAUGCGCAGAUAUCAGGAGGAACACCGGUGGCGAAGGCGGUUCUCUGGGCCUUACCUGACGCUGAGGAGCGAAAGCGUGGGGAGCGAACCGG
This 253-nucleotide ribosomal RNA is filed under the name uncultured bacterium. Its description in RNAcentral is "partial 16S ribosomal RNA". It matches the Rfam family "Bacterial small subunit ribosomal RNA", at positions 524 to 776 of the family's 1533-position model. The record is from RNAcentral.